CUGCCCUCAAGCGCGGCUUGUGUGUUGGGCGUGGUCCCCCCCUCUUGCGGGGGGACCUGCCCGAAAGGCAGCGGCGACGUUCCGCCCAGGUCCUCGAGCGUAUGGGGCUUUGUCACCCGCUCGGGACGGACCUGCGGGCGUCGGUCAUCCACGAUUCUUUCCACGG
Molecule: unclassified non-coding RNA, 166 nt
Filed under: uncultured Talaromyces
Lineage: Eukaryota; Fungi; Ascomycota; Eurotiomycetes; Eurotiales; Trichocomaceae
Description: sequence contains ITS2
Source: RNAcentral